Molecule: ribosomal RNA, 2694 nt
Filed under: Escherichia coli
Lineage: Bacteria; Pseudomonadati; Pseudomonadota; Gammaproteobacteria; Enterobacterales; Enterobacteriaceae
Description: bacterial LSU rRNA
Rfam family: Bacterial large subunit ribosomal RNA
Source: RNAcentral
AGCGUACACGGUGGAUGCCCUGGCAGUCAGAGGCGAUGAAGGACGUGCUAAUCUGCGAUAAGCGUCGGUAAGGUGAUAUGAACCGUUAUAACCGGCGAUUUCCGAAUGGGGAAACCCAGUGUGNCACACUAUCAUUAACUGAAUCCAUAGGUUAAUGAGGCGAACCGGGGGAACUGAAACAUCUAAGUACCCCGAGGAAAAGAAAUCAACCGAGAUUCCCCCAGUAGCGGCGAGCGAACGGGGAGCAGCCCAGAGCCUGAAUCAGUGUGUGUGUUAGUGGAAGCGUCUGGAAAGGCGCGCGAUACAGGGUGACAGCCCCGUACACAAAAAUGCACAUACUGUGAGCUCGAUGAGUAGGGCGGGACACGUGGUAUCCUGUCUGAAUAUGGGGGGACCAUCCUCCAAGGCUAAAUACUCCUGACUGACCGAUAGUGAACCAGUACCGUGAGGGAAAGGCGAAAAGAACCCCNGUGACUGCGUACCUUUUGUAUAAUGGGUCAGCGACUUAUAUUCUGUAGCAAGGUUAACCGAAUAGGGGAGCCGAAGGGAAACCGAGUCUUAACUGGGCGUUAAGUUGCAGGGUAUAGACCCGAAACCCGGUGAUCUAGCCAUGGGCAGGUUGAAGGUUGGGUAACACUAACUGGAGGACCGAACCGACUAAUGUUGAAAAAUUAGCGGAUGACUUGUGGCUGGGGGUGAAAGGCCAAUCAAACCGGGAGAUAGCUGGUUCUCCCCGAAAGCUAUUUAGGUAGCGCCUCGUGAAUUCAUCUCCGGGGGUAGAGCACUGUUUCGGCAAGGGGGUCAUCCCGACUUACCAACCCGAUGCAAACUGCGAAUACCGGAGAAUGUUAUCACGGGAGACACACGGCGGGUGCUAACGUCCGUCGUGAAGAGGGAAACAACCCAGACCGCCAGCUAAGGUCCCAAAGUCAUGGUUAAGUGGGAAACGAUGUGGGAAGGCCCAGACAGCCAGGAUGUUGGCUUAGAAGCAGCCAUCAUUUAAAGAAAGCGUAAUAGCUCACUGGUCGAGUCGGCCUGCGCGGAAGAUGUAACGGGGCUAAACCAUGCACCGAAGCUGCGGCAGCGACACUGUGUGUUGUUGGGUAGGGGAGCGUUCUGUAAGCCUGUGAAGGUGUNAUGCUGGAGGUAUCAGAAGUGCGAAUGCUGACAUAAGUAACGAUAAAGCGGGUGAAAAGCCCGCUCGCCGGAAGACCAAGGGUUCCUGUCCAACGUUAAUCGGGGCAGGGUGAGUCGACCCCUAAGGCGAGGCCGAAAGGCGUAGUCGAUGGGAAACAGGUUAAUAUUCCUGUACUUGGUGUUACUGCGAAGGGGGGACGGAGAAGGCUAUGUUGGCCGGGCGACGGUUGUCCCGGUUUAAGCGUGUAGGCUGGUUUUCCAGGCAAAUCCGGAAAAUCAAGGCUGAGGCGUGAUGACGAGGCACUACGGUGCUGAAGCAACAAAUGCCCUGCUUCCAGGAAAAGCCUCUAAGCAUCAGGUAACAUCAAAUCGUACCCCAAACCGACACAGGUGGUCAGGUAGAGAAUACCAAGGCGCUUGAGAGAACUCGGGUGAAGGAACUAGGCAAAAUGGUGCCGUAACUUCGGGAGAAGGCACGCUGAUAUGUAGGUGAAGUCCCUCGCGGAUGGAGCUGAAAUCAGUCGAAGAUACCAGCUGGCUGCAACUGUUUAUUAAAAACACAGCACUGUGCAAACACGAAAGUGGACGUAUACGGUGUGACGCCUGCCCGGUGCCGGAAGGUUAAUUGAUGGGGUCAGCGCAAGCGAAGCUCUUGAUCGAAGCCCCGGUAAACGGCGGCCGUAACUAUAACGGUCCUAAGGUAGCGAAAUUCCUUGUCGGGUAAGUUCCGACCUGCACGAAUGGCGUAAUGAUGGCCAGGCUGUCUCCACCCGAGACUCAGUGAAAUUGAACUCGCUGUGAAGAUGCAGUGUACCCGCGGCAAGACGGAAAGACCCCGUGAACCUUUACUAUAGCUUGACACUGAACAUUGAGCCUUGAUGUGUAGGAUAGGUGGGAGGCUUUGAAGUGUGGACGCCAGUCUGCAUGGAGCCGACCUUGAAAUACCACCCUUUAAUGUUUGAUGUUCUAACGUGGACCCGUGAUCCGGGUUGCGGACAGUGUCUGGUGGGUAGUUUGACUGGGGCGGUCUCCUCCUAAAGAGUAACGGAGGAGCACGAAGGUUGGCUAAUCCUGGUCGGACAUCAGGAGGUUAGUGCAAUGGCAUAAGCCAGCUUGACUGCGAGCGUGACGGCGCGAGCAGGUGCGAAAGCAGGUCAUAGUGAUCCGGUGGUUCUGAAUGGAAGGGCCAUCGCUCAACGGAUAAAAGGUACUCCGGGGAUAACAGGCUGAUACCGCCCAAGAGUUCAUAUCGACGGCGGUGUUUGGCACCUCGAUGUCGGCUCAUCACAUCCUGGGGCUGAAGUAGGUCCCAAGGGUAUGGCUGUUCGCCAUUUAAAGUGGUACGCGAGCUGGGUUUAGAACGUCGUGAGACAGUUCGGUCCCUAUCUGCCGUGGGCGCUGGAGAACUGAGGGGGGCUGCUCCUAGUACGAGAGGACCGGAGUGGACGCAUCACUGGUGUUCGGGUUGUCAUGCCAAUGGCACUGCCCGGUAGCUAAAUGCGGAAGAGAUAAGUGCUGAAAGCAUCUAAGCACGAAACUUGCCCCGAGAUGAGUUCU